CUUUAUUGGAGAGUUUGAUCCUGGCUCAGGAUGAACGCUGGCGGCGUGCCUAAUACAUGCAAGUCGAGCGAAUGGAUUGAGAGCUUGCUCUCAAGAAGUUAGCGGCGGACGGGUGAGUAACACGUGGGUAACCUGCCCAUAAGACUGGGAUAACUCCGGGAAACCG
Molecule: ribosomal RNA, 166 nt
Filed under: Bacillus cereus
Lineage: Bacteria; Bacillati; Bacillota; Bacilli; Caryophanales; Bacillaceae
Also listed under: 1 other name
Description: partial 16S ribosomal RNA
Rfam family: Bacterial small subunit ribosomal RNA
Source: RNAcentral